Lolium rigidum is the source of this 173-nucleotide long non-coding RNA. RefSeq lists it as uncharacterized. The transcript is spliced from 3 exons. Lineage: Eukaryota; Viridiplantae; Streptophyta; Magnoliopsida; Poales; Poaceae. The record is from RefSeq and is a predicted model, not a curated record.
GAGCAACUGCCAAUAGCACGAGAAUUCAUUUCGAAGCAUGCUCCACAUCUUCUCCAUUGAUUAAGUAAGCAAAAAAAAUUCAAGGAGACAGAUGAUGUAUUACAACUAGAUUCCAAGAUCAAGGAAGAAGAGAAACAUUUGAUUGACAAAAUGAGAUAUUACAUUUUAUGUUU